GAUGAAGAACGCAGCGAAAUGCGAUAAGUAAUGUGAAUUGCAGAAUUCAGUGAAUCAUCGAAUCUUUGAACGCACAUUGCGCCCGCCAGUAUUCUGGCGGGCAUGCCUGUCCGAGCGUCAUUUCAACCCUCGAACCCCUCCGGGGGGUCGGCGUUGGGGAUCGGCCCUUUACCGGCCGGCCCCGAAAUACAGUGGCGGUCUCGCCGCAGCCUCUCCUGCGCAGUAGUUUGCACACUCGCACCGGGAGCGCGGCGCAGUCCAAUGCCGUAAAACACCCAACUUUCUGAAAUGUUGACCUCGGAUCAGGUAGGAAUACCCGCUGAACUUAAGCAUAUCAAUAGCGGAGGA
RNAcentral lists this unclassified non-coding RNA (348 nucleotides) under soil metagenome. Its description in RNAcentral is "partial contains 5.8S ribosomal RNA, internal transcribed spacer 2, and large subunit ribosomal RNA". The stretch from base 1 to 120 matches the Rfam family "5.8S ribosomal RNA", at positions 35 to 154 of the family's 154-position model. The record is from RNAcentral.